UGGGCCAUGUUGUCUUUGAUGACGAUGA
This 28-nucleotide non-coding RNA is filed under the name Homo sapiens (human). Lineage: Eukaryota; Metazoa; Chordata; Mammalia; Primates; Hominidae. The record is from RNAcentral.